Molecule: ribosomal RNA, 469 nt
Filed under: uncultured bacterium
Lineage: Bacteria
Description: partial 16S ribosomal RNA
Rfam family: Bacterial small subunit ribosomal RNA
Source: RNAcentral
GACGAACGCUGGCGGCGUGCUUAACACAUGCAAGUCGAACGGAAAGGCCCUGCUUGCAGGGUGCUCGAGUGGCGAACGGGUGAGUAACACGUGGGUGAUCUGCCCCUUACUUUGGGAUAAGCCUGGGAAACUGGGUCUAAUACUGGAUAGGACCAUGCUGUAGGUGGUGUGGUGGAAAGAUUAGUUUCGGUAAGGGAUGAGCUCGCGGCCUAUCAGCUUGUUGGUGGGGUAAUGGCCUAACAAGGCGUCGACGGGUAGCCGGCCUGAGAGGGUGGACGGCCACAUUGGGACUGAGAUACGGCCCAGACUCCUACGGGAGGCAGCAGUGGGGAAUAUUGCACAAUGGGCGCAAGCCUGAUGCAGCGACGCCGCGUGGGGGAUGACGGCCUUCGGGUUGUAAACUCCUUUCAGCCAUGACGAAGCCCUUGUGGUGACGGUAGUGGUAGAAGAAGCACCGGCUAACUACGUG